Molecule: transfer RNA, 73 nt
Filed under: Stegodyphus mimosarum
Lineage: Eukaryota; Metazoa; Arthropoda; Arachnida; Araneae; Eresidae
Rfam family: tRNA
About the family: Transfer RNA (tRNA) molecules are approximately 80 nucleotides in length.
Source: Rfam by way of RNAcentral
GCCUUCAUGGUGUAAUGGUCAGCACGCUCGGCGCGUAUUCGAAAGGUUCGAGGUUCGAAUCCCGACGAUGGCA